This is a small nucleolar RNA of Dreissena polymorpha, 129 nucleotides long. The record is from RefSeq and is a predicted model, not a curated record. Lineage: Eukaryota; Metazoa; Mollusca; Bivalvia; Myida; Dreissenidae.
UCAGGCAUGUAUCGAAGCCAAGACUGCAUUGGUUGUUGUUUUUGGUCAAAAUGAUGCCUAUAAUAACUUCCUCUGACGGUCGCUGCCUGCCAUGUCUUGCUUGCAGCAUCACCAACAGUCGAUACAAAC